GUGGGGAAUCUUCCGCAAUGGACGAAAGUCUGACGGAGCGACGCCGCGUGAGUGAAGAAGGCCUUCGGGUCGUAAAGCUCUGUCAUCAGGGACGAACGGCCGGUGGAGUGGAAAGCCACCGGAUUGACGGUACCUGAGAAGGAAGCCACGGCUAACUACGUGCCAGCAGCCGCGGUAAUACGUAGGUGGCAAGCGUUGUCCGGAAUUAUUGGGCGUAAAGCGCGCGCAGGUGGGAUCUUAAGUCCAUUUUUAAAGUUCGGAGCUCAACUCCGUGAUGGGAUGGAAACUGGGAUUCUUGAGUACCGGAGAGGAAAGCGGAAUUCCCCGUGUAGCGGUGAAAUGCGUAGAUAUGGGGAGGAACACCAGUGGCGAAGGCGACUUUCUGGACGAUGUCUGACGCUGAGGCGCGAAAGCUAGGGGAGCGAACGGGAUUAGAAACCCGAGUAGUCC
RNAcentral lists this ribosomal RNA (450 nucleotides) under uncultured bacterium. RNAcentral's name for it is "partial 16S ribosomal RNA". It matches the Rfam family "Bacterial small subunit ribosomal RNA", at positions 354 to 796 of the family's 1533-position model. The record is from RNAcentral.